This 494-nucleotide ribosomal RNA is filed under the name uncultured bacterium. RNAcentral describes it as "partial 16S ribosomal RNA". It matches the Rfam family "Bacterial small subunit ribosomal RNA", at positions 29 to 507 of the family's 1533-position model. The record is from RNAcentral.
ACGAACGCUGGCGGCGUGCCUAAUACAUGCAAGUAGAACGCUGAAGGAGGAGCUUGCUUCUCUGGAUGAGUUGCGAACGGGUGAGUAACGCGUAGGUAACCUGCCUGGUAGCGGGGGAUAGCUAUUGGAAACGAUAGCUAAUACCGCAUAAGAGUAGAUGUUGCAUGACAUUUGCUUAAAAGGUGCAAUUGCAUCACUACCAGAUGGACCUGCGUUGUAUUAGCUAGUUGGUGGGGUAACGGCUCACCAAGGCGACGAUACAUAGCCGACCUGAGAGGGUGAUCGGCCACACUGGGACUGAGACACGGCCCAGACUCCUACGGGAGGCAGCAGUAGGGAAUCUUCGGCAAUGGACGGAAGUCUGACCGAGCAACGCCGCGUGAGUGAAGAAGGUUUUCGGAUCGUAAAGCUCUGUUGUAAGAGAAGAACGAGUGUGAGAGUGGAAAGUUCACACUGUGACGGUAUCUUACCAGAAAGGGACGGCUAACUACGUG